Molecule: long non-coding RNA, 1188 nt
Filed under: Bos grunniens (domestic yak)
Lineage: Eukaryota; Metazoa; Chordata; Mammalia; Artiodactyla; Bovidae
Description: lncRNA (ENSBGRG00000012903.1)
Source: RNAcentral
CUCUGUCACAAGUCAACUUUGCCCUCAUGGCAUGAAAAGCAGUCACAGGCAGUGCAUAAAUGAGGGGAUGAGGCUGGGUUCUGAUAAGCUUUAUUAAUGGACCCUGAAAUUUGAGUUUUUCAUACAGUAUUUUUAUGUCAGAAAAUAGUCUUCUUCUUCUUCUUUUUUUUUUUCCAACCAUGUAAAAAUGCAAAAACCCUUCAUCAUUCAUGGUCCAGACAGAAACUGGCAGUGCCUAGAUCCGGCCUGCAGGCACAAGCUUUCUGCUUAGCUCUCCAUUAGAGCUACCUCUCCAUUAGAGGCUGUGUGUCAGCCUCCUUAAAUAAAAACGACCAAGUCAGUAAAAGAAGUGAAGAAGUUAGCAGGUAACAGCACCUAAGCUCUAUUUUACUGUCUUUGGAUAACCAUGCGGAUUUAUUUUUAAACCAGUGCUUAGUCCAUAUCUUAUUUUGUGCUUUCAUAUAAUUCUCUCAUCCUCCCCGCAAUCUUAUGAAGCCACGUGGUAGCACUUCUAUGUUACAGAUGAGGAAAAUUAAAUGCUAAGAGGUAAAGCAACUUGUCUGGAGCGACGCAGGUAAUACACGGCCAAGUGCAGUUGCACACUUACACUUGGUUUUCUAGUCUCAGCAGCCAGCACUGUGGGCCUCUCUCUGCCCGAAUGCAACCUCAGGGGAUGCAUCUGUCCAUCCAAGAAAACAUUGGUUAAUCCCCUUCUCGGUGCUGGGGACACACUCUAGGUCUCUACAUUGGAGCUGUACAUUCCGGAGGAACCUGCACAUGGCUAUGAAGAAGGUAAAAGAAGAUGAUGUGUUAGGGCGCCUUUAGGGAGGAGAUGGUGCGGAGGUCAAGGAAGAGAGCACCCUCUGAGGAGGAGACACCGAGCUGGAUCUGGAAAAUUAAAGAGGAGCCCAUCCCAGGAAGAUCUGGGAGGGAAGUCUGAGAAAAGAAUCUGAAGAACUAGAAUGUAGUGUCAGUCAGCGUAGCUGCCGAAAUCCACGCUCCAGAGGUAAACCUAACAGAGCUAACAGAGAACUGAGAUAACACAAACAAGCACUUUCAAAGUCAACGUCCCACUUCCUGAGCAGCUGCAAAACAAGACAGCGAGCACUGCCGCCACGUCCUCGUAGGCGCUCUAGAGAAAGGGGGCGUGUAGUCGGGGGCGGUGCCAAUGGGCAGUCCCAGCAGCCC